UUAGAGUGACCGGGCCGUGGUGUUCGGGAAGACCGGUGACGGACCUUGUGGUCCCAGUCCGGAGCGGCCCUCGCCACUGUGAUCGGGGAGUCUUCACCCCUUCCACCGGCGCACGGCGCGCCUGUGGCGCCACUGACCGCAGCCCGCGGCCGGGAAGGCGGGGGGGCGGACGCAUACACCCUCCCCCAAGCUCUCAAGGAGCAGGGUGGUACCCGCAAGCCAGGAGACCGGCCACGGCAUCUCACGAACU
RNAcentral lists this non-coding RNA (250 nucleotides) under Streptomyces decoyicus. Lineage: Bacteria; Bacillati; Actinomycetota; Actinomycetes; Kitasatosporales; Streptomycetaceae. The record is from RNAcentral.